Molecule: transfer RNA, 89 nt
Filed under: Candidatus Woesebacteria bacterium RBG_16_42_24
Lineage: Bacteria; Candidatus Woeseibacteriota
Also listed under: 2 other names
Description: tRNA-Ser
Rfam family: tRNA
About the family: Transfer RNA (tRNA) molecules are approximately 80 nucleotides in length.
Source: RNAcentral
GGUGAGGUGCUAGAGCGGCCGAAUAGGUCGGUCUUGAAAACCGAUGUGGGGAUUUAUCCUCACCGUGGGUUCGAAUCCCACCCUCACCG